AUGCGCCUCGGCCUCGGCACUUUCGACACCGCUCACGAAGCCGCCCGCGCUUACGACGCGGUCGCGUGGCGCCUCCGGCGGCCUCGUAGGGACAUGAACUUCCCCGACGUGUCGAUGCGGGAGCGAGCGCAGGAGCUCGCGCCUCCCCCGCGGCUUAUCACCGAUGAGGAUCGUCGUGACAACCGAAGGUGGGAGCGCCGUCUCGGCCUCGCCGAGAUGGACGAGGAAGCUAUAGCGCUGUGGCACGAACGCUUCCCGCAAGACAUCAUCAACGAGCAUCAGUUGUACGCGCAAAGGAGGGCGGAGCGAGCCGCCUAUCGCGAGGACAAGAAUACGCGGAAGGCGGCCACUCAAUUCAACAUCGACCUAGGAGCAGCGUCGUCCUUGGACUCCAACGACGAUCGGUACCUUGACGCCUUCAUUGAGACGUCGGAGGAGGACAUCACCGAGGCGGAGUUGUAG
Molecule: ribosomal RNA, 462 nt
Filed under: Triticum aestivum (bread wheat)
Lineage: Eukaryota; Viridiplantae; Streptophyta; Magnoliopsida; Poales; Poaceae
Description: partial small subunit ribosomal RNA
Source: RNAcentral